Long non-coding RNA from Rhododendron vialii, 215 nucleotides. RefSeq lists it as uncharacterized. The record is from RefSeq and is a predicted model, not a curated record. Lineage: Eukaryota; Viridiplantae; Streptophyta; Magnoliopsida; Ericales; Ericaceae. The transcript has 2 exons.
UGCUCUUUUUGUCUCAAUCUUUCAAUCCAAGGAAGAGUGUCAGCUUGAAAAUGCCUUUGAAGCUGCAGUGCACGUAUACGAAAUUGAACAUCAUAAAUCAAUUGUCUUGCACCACAGGUAGAGAGAGAGAGAGAGAGAGAGAGAGAACCAUCUUCACAUUGCUUUGAGUCAUUCGCAAUCUCUCGGCAUCAGAGAGUAUAACUUCAUCCUGAAGC